This 509-nucleotide ribosomal RNA is filed under the name uncultured bacterium. RNAcentral describes it as "bacterial SSU rRNA". It matches the Rfam family "Bacterial small subunit ribosomal RNA", at positions 36 to 518 of the family's 1533-position model. The record is from RNAcentral.
CUGGCGGCGUGCCUAAUACAUGCAAGUCGAACGGUCUUUCUAUGGAAGCUGCUUCACUGAGAAGAUAGUGGCGAACGGGUGAGUAACACGUGGGUAACCUGCCCAUAAGAGGGGGAUAACGAUCCGGAAACGGGUGCUAAUACCGCAUAGUUUUCUUGAUCGCAUGAUCGGGAAAGGAAAGACGGCCUUUGUGCUGUCGCUUAUGGAUGGACCCGCGGCGUAUUAGUUAGUUGGUGAGGUAACGGCUCACCAAGACGAUGAUACGUAGCCGACCUGAGAGGGUGAUCGGCCACAUUGGGACUGAGACACGGCCCAAACUCCUACGGGAGGCAGCAGUAGGGAAUCUUCCGCAAUGGACGAAAGUCUGACGGAGCAACGCCGCGUGAGUGAAGAAGGUUUUCGGGAAUCGUAAAACUCUGUUGUCAGAGAAGAACAAGUUGGAGAGUAACUGCUCCAGCCUUGACGGUAUCUGACCAGAAAGCCACGGCUAACUACGUGCCAGCAGCAGC